CAUUGAGCACCGCUGUUCAAUCAAUCAAUCAAUCAACAUUUCUUUGUAUAGCACUGCCCAAAGUGCUUUACAUCAGCUGUUGACACAACGAAGAACGGCGUGGAAGCAGCGACGCUCGGCCGUAGACAGUAUGCGUGAAAGCUGCGAGGCACUAAAUACCAACUUGAAACCUACUUGAAAUAAAACCUUCCCGAGUAAAAAGACAACAAACCUGUCUGUAAGAUUCAAAGUUGAAGAUCCACCUUCACACUCAUCCAUUGCAUGUUUGACACCAACCUUCUUUUACAUCUCUUUUUGAAUUAAACUGCCUUCGCUCUUCG
This is a long non-coding RNA of Micropterus dolomieu (smallmouth bass), 320 nucleotides long. RefSeq lists it as uncharacterized. NCBI's taxonomy places the organism in Eukaryota, Metazoa, Chordata, Actinopteri, Centrarchiformes, Centrarchidae. The record is from RefSeq and is a predicted model, not a curated record. The transcript has 3 exons.